CACGUAGGGGGCAAGCGUUGUCCGGAUUUAUUGGGCGUAAAGAGCUCGUAGGUGGUUCGGUAAGUCAGGUGUGAAACCUCCAGGCUCAACCUGGAGACGCCACUUGAUACUGCUGUGACUGGAGUCCGGUAGGGGAGCGUGGAAUUCCUGGUGUAGCGGUGAAAUGCGCAGAUAUCAGGAGGAACACCAGCGGCGAAGGCGGCGCUCUGGGCCGGUACUGACGCUGAGGCGCGAAAGCGUGGGGAGCAAACAGG
This 254-nucleotide ribosomal RNA is filed under the name uncultured bacterium. Its description in RNAcentral is "partial 16S ribosomal RNA". It matches the Rfam family "Bacterial small subunit ribosomal RNA", at positions 524 to 776 of the family's 1533-position model. The record is from RNAcentral.